AUGGCGAUCUUUGCUGGCCUUCUCACCUUCGUCUCCACCCUCCUCGCCCUCGCCCUCCGGCGCCUCCUGCGCCUCUUGCGCCGCCGCGCGCCCGACCCAGCGGCCGCGGCGGGGUUCUUCCACCCGUACACCAACGACGGCGGUGGCGGGGAGCGCGUGCUCUGGUGCGCCGUGCGCGCCGUCCAGGACCUUUGCCCCGACCUCCCCUGCGCCGUCUUCACCGGCGACGCGGACGCGUCCCCCGAUGGGCUCGCCGCCCGCGCGCUCGAUCGCUUCGGGGUCCGCCUCCUCCGCCCGCCGCAGGUUGUUCAUUUGAACAAGAGAAAGUGGAUCGAAGCAAGCACAUAUCCGCGCUUCACAAUGAUAGGGCAAAGUCUUGGCUCAGUCCUCUCCUACACUCAUUAUCCCACGAUCAGUUCUGAUAUGGUCGAACGUGUUAAGCAGCGCAACUCAAUGUACAAUAACAACUCUCUUAUCUCUGGAAGCAUUUGGUUGUCUCGAUGUAAAGUUCUGUACUACACCAUAUUCAGUUGGUUGUAUGGUUUAGUUGGUUCCUGUGCACAUCUUGUGAUGGUGAAUUCCUCAUGGACAAGAUCCCAUAUUGUGAAUAUUUGGGAAGUCCCAGAGCGUAUGAAGCGGGUAUACCCUCCAUGUGAUACUUCUGCCCUGCAGAUGCUCCCCCUGGAAAGAUCAACAACACCUCCUAUUUUUAUAUCAGUUGCACAGUUCCGUCCUGAGAAGGCCCAUGGUCUUCAGUUGGAGGCAUUUGCACUUGCUCUUGAAAGGCUAGAUUCAGACUGUCUCAAGCCAAAACUUCAAUUUGCUGGCAGUUGCCGGAAUAAAGAGGAUCUGGAAAGAUUACAAAAGCUCAAGGACAGAUCUGUGGAGCUUCACAUAGAUGAGCUUGUAGAGUUCCACCAGGAUAUCUCUUACAGAGACCUGGUACAGCUUCUAGGUGGUGCAAUUUGUGGGCUCCAUUCAAUGACAGAUGAGCAUUUUGGAAUAAGUGUCGUUGAGUACAUGGCUGCUGGUGCUAUUCCAAUUGCCCAUAAAUCUGCAGGACCAAUGAUGGAUAUUGUGCUAGAGGAGGACAGCCGCCAGACAGGGUUUCUGGCCUCCAGGAAGGAAGAAUUUGCGGAGGCAAUCCUCAAGGUCUUGAGGAUGCCGGAGCCAGAGAGGCGAGAAAUGGCGGCAGCAGCACGGAAGCGUGCUCAAAGGUUUUCAGAGCAGAAGUUUCACGAAGAUUUCACAAACGCGGUUCGCCCAGUUUUAUUAGGACGCUCAUGA
Molecule: ribosomal RNA, 1287 nt
Filed under: Triticum aestivum (bread wheat)
Lineage: Eukaryota; Viridiplantae; Streptophyta; Magnoliopsida; Poales; Poaceae
Description: partial small subunit ribosomal RNA
Source: RNAcentral